This 262-nucleotide long non-coding RNA is filed under the name Homo sapiens (human). Its description in RNAcentral is "HSALNT0367754". Lineage: Eukaryota; Metazoa; Chordata; Mammalia; Primates; Hominidae. The record is from RNAcentral.
UUUUGUAAAGACUUUUUAGGAAAGAAUUUUCUUGUCAGUCUGAUGGAUUCAGAGGGAAAAGAUCUAAAGGAUAAGUGUGGGCAAGAGGAAAAGACAAAAAUGGAACUAGAAGAAAAUGAGAGAAAGUCUUCAUCAAUAAAUGGAGAAUUAAAGAAAGACUUCGCUAUUGCUCAAACAGUUAAACAGAGGCAACAAAAACAAUAUGGAAAACAAAAAGUCUCUAUCUUAUUCUCAGUGGUAUGUAUACCCAGGGCAUCAGAAC